CGCUAGCCCCAUGAUGAACACAUGCAAGUCGAGGGGCAGCAUGAAGUUCCUUUGCAAACUUUGAUGGCGACCGGCGGAUGGGUGAGUAACGCGUAUCCAACCUGCCCCCUUCCCGGGCACAGCCCUUGGAAACGAGGAUUAACUCCCGAUGGUGUCAGACUAGCGCAUGCUUAUCUGACCAAAUGUUUAAGGAAGGGGAUGGGGAUGCGUCCCAUUAGCUUGUUGGCGGGGUAACGGCCCACCAAGGCUCCGAUGGGUAGGGGUUCUGAGAGGAAGGUCCCCCACACUGGAACUGAGACACGGUCCAGACUCCUACGGGAGGCAGCAGUGAGGAAUAUUGGUCAAUGGUUGCAACUCUGAACCAGCCAAGUAGCGUGAGGGAAGACUGCCCUACGGGUUGUAAACCUCUUUUGUCGGGGAAUAAACCGCAUCACGUGUGAUGCUCUGCAUGUACCCGCAGAAUAAGGACCGGCUAAUUCCGUGCCAGCAGCCGCGGUAAUACGGAAGGUCCGAGCGUUAUCCGGAUUUAUUGGGUUUAAAGGGAGCGUAGGCGGGCUGUUAAGCCAGCCGUCAAAUUGCGGGGCUCAACCCCGUAUCGCGGUUGGAACUGGCGGCCUUGAGUGGGCAAGAGGCGCGUGGAAUUCGUGGUGUAGCGGUGAAAUGCAUAGAUAUCACGAAGAACUCCGAUUG
This 690-nucleotide ribosomal RNA is filed under the name uncultured Bacteroidales bacterium. RNAcentral's name for it is "bacterial SSU rRNA". It matches the Rfam family "Bacterial small subunit ribosomal RNA", at positions 34 to 715 of the family's 1533-position model. Lineage: Bacteria; Pseudomonadati; Bacteroidota; Bacteroidia; Bacteroidales. The record is from RNAcentral.